Molecule: long non-coding RNA, 704 nt
Filed under: Coccomyxa subellipsoidea
Lineage: Eukaryota; Viridiplantae; Chlorophyta; Trebouxiophyceae; Coccomyxaceae
Description: long non-coding RNA (CSUB_LNC000444)
Source: RNAcentral
GCAGGGGCUUCACAGCGUGCGCAGCGCUGACCUGGACAACAUGACACCCGGGCAGCGGGUGACUCAGUUGCAACGCUCCAGGACAACUGGCAGACCCAUGCCAGCCAUCCAACAGCCCCUCCUAGUGCGUUGCCCUUGAACUUCGUCAGUGACAACUUGUCACGUGGGGAUGACAAACAUGCACCAGUGCCACCGUGUUCUGAGGCAAGAAGGAUCCAAGUGAUACGAAGGCACCACGCAUGAAUCUGCAGAAUUCUGCAUGUCAUCAGAAGAAGGCAAUGCGAGGCAAAUGCGCUUGCAGAGCAUGAGGCUUGCGGCCCUUUCUUGCUCACUAGUUGUGUGUUUCUGCUGCAGGAGAAUGGUGGUGCACAGACGACGGAUGAUCUUCCAGUGUAGUGAGUCAUGCAUGCGGGACGGUGGCUUGGGGGCUGUAGCCAGCGCCUGAGAAGAGUGAAGACUUUCAAAAAUUGACCUAGCUCGUGACCUGGUACAUAGAUAUGACCCCCUAAUUUGUAUGUUUAAGUUGGAUCAUUCUUAUAUUUUGAACACCGUAGGCUUGGCCGAGACAACGGUAGUGUGUCAGAAGAUGUGGUGAAUGAAAAUGUCAUGUGUCCAAUUGCAAUUUUGGGUCCUUCUGUGGUCUAGUGUUGGUGCAAAUGGCUGUGAAACAGCAUCUAUGUCAGUUUCCAAGCUGGCAUCAACGA